Molecule: ribosomal RNA, 622 nt
Filed under: Akkermansia muciniphila
Lineage: Bacteria; Pseudomonadati; Verrucomicrobiota; Verrucomicrobiia; Verrucomicrobiales; Akkermansiaceae
Description: bacterial SSU rRNA
Rfam family: Bacterial small subunit ribosomal RNA
Source: RNAcentral
UGGCGGCGUGGAUAAGACAUGCAAGUCGAACGAGAGAAUUGCUAGCUUGCUAAUAAUUCUCUAGUGGCGCACGGGUGAGUAACACGUGAGUAACCUGCCCCCGAGAGCGGGAUAGCCCUGGGAAACUGGGAUUAAUACCGCAUAGUAUCGAAAGAUUAAAGCAGCAAUGCGCUUGGGGAUGGGCUCGCGGCCUAUUAGUUAGUUGGUGAGGUAACGGCUCACCAAGGCGAUGACGGGUAGCCGGUCUGAGAGGAUGUCCGGCCACACUGGAACUGAGACACGGUCCAGACACCUACGGGUGGCAGCAGUCGAGAAUCAUUCACAAUGGGGGAAACCCUGAUGGUGCGACGCCGCGUGGGGGAAUGAAGGUCUUCGGAUUGUAAACCCCUGUCAUGUGGGAGCAAAUUAAAAAGAUAGUACCACAAGAGGAAGAGACGGCUAACUCUGUGCCAGCAGCCGCGGUAAUACAGAGGUCUCAAGCGUUGUUCGGAAUCACUGGGCGUAAAGCGUGCGUAGGCUGUUUCGUAAGUCGUGUGUGAAAGGCGCGGGCUCAACCCGCGGACGGCACAUGAUACUGCGAGACUAGAGUAAUGGAGGGGGAACCGGAAUUCUCGGUGUAGCA